RNAcentral lists this ribosomal RNA (201 nucleotides) under uncultured bacterium. Its description in RNAcentral is "partial 16S ribosomal RNA". It matches the Rfam family "Bacterial small subunit ribosomal RNA", at positions 1301 to 1500 of the family's 1533-position model. The record is from RNAcentral.
AAGGCUGAAAUUCGCCUUCAUGAAGCCGGAAUUGCUAGUAAUGGCAGGUCAGCAUACUGCCGUGAAUACGUUCCCGGGCCUUGUACACACCGCCCGUCACACCAUGAGAGUCGGAAAUGCCCGAAGCCGGUGGCCUAACCGAUAAGGGAGGAGCCGUCGAAGGCAGGUCUGAUGACUGGGGUGAAGUCGUAACAAGGUAUC